Molecule: ribosomal RNA, 505 nt
Filed under: uncultured bacterium
Lineage: Bacteria
Description: partial 16S ribosomal RNA
Rfam family: Bacterial small subunit ribosomal RNA
Source: RNAcentral
GACGAACGCUGGCGGCGUGCCUAAUACAUGCAAGUAGAACGCACAGUUUAUACCGUAGCUUGCUACACCAUAGACUGUGAGUUGCGAACGGGUGAGUAACGCGUAGGUAACCUGCCCGGUAGCGGGGGAUAACUAUUGGAAACGAUAGCUAAUACCGCAUAAUAUUAAUUAUUGCAUGAUAAUUAAUUGAAAGGUGCAAUUGCACCACUACCAGAUGGACCUGCGUUGUAUUAGCUAGUAGGUGAGGUAACGGCUCACCUAGGCGACGAUACAUAGCCGACCUGAGAGGGUGAUCGGCCACACUGGGACUGAGACACGGCCCAGACUCCUACGGGAGGCAGCAGUAGGGAAUCUUCGGCAAUGGACGAAAGUCUGACCGAGCAACGCCGCGUGAGUGAAGAAGGUUUUCGGAUCGUAAAGCUCUGUUGUAAGAGAAGAACGGGUGUGAGAGUGGAAAGUUCACACUGUGACGGUAUCUUACCAGAAAGGGACGGCUAACUACGUG